GUCUGCGGCCAUGCCACCCUGAACAAGCACGAUGUCUGAUCUCGGAAGCUAAGCAGUGUCGGGCCUGGUUAGUACUUGGGUAGGAGACCACCUUUGAAGACCAGGUGCUGUAGGCA
Molecule: ribosomal RNA, 116 nt
Filed under: Pteropus alecto (black flying fox)
Lineage: Eukaryota; Metazoa; Chordata; Mammalia; Chiroptera; Pteropodidae
Source: RNAcentral